Molecule: ribosomal RNA, 488 nt
Filed under: uncultured bacterium
Lineage: Bacteria
Description: bacterial SSU rRNA
Rfam family: Bacterial small subunit ribosomal RNA
Source: RNAcentral
GGCUCAGAUUGAACGCUGGCGGCAUGCCUUACACAUGCAAGUCGAACGGUAACAGGUCUUCGGAUGCUGACGAGUGGCGAACGGGUGAGUAAUACAUCGGAACGUGCCCGAUCGUGGGGGAUAACGCAGCGAAAGCUGCGCUAAUACCGCAUACGCCCUGAGGGGGAAAGCGGGGGACCGUAAGGCCUCGCGCGAUUAGAGCGGCCGAUAUCUGAUUAGCUUGUUGGUGGGGUAAAAGCCCACCAAGGCGACGAUCGGUAGCUGGUCUGAGAGGACGAUCAGCCACACUGGGACUGAGACACGGCCCAGACUCCUACGGGAGGCAGCAGUGGGGAAUUUUGGACAAUGGGGGCAACCCUGAUCCAGCAAUGCCGCGUGAGUGAAGAAGGCCUUCGGGUUGUAAAGCUCUUUUGUCAGGGAAGAAACAGCAGCUCUAACACAGUCUGCGAAUGACGGUACCUGAAGAAUAAGCACCGGCUAACUACGUG